Molecule: ribosomal RNA, 468 nt
Filed under: uncultured bacterium
Lineage: Bacteria
Description: partial 16S ribosomal RNA
Rfam family: Bacterial small subunit ribosomal RNA
Source: RNAcentral
GACGAACGCUGGCGGCGUGCUUAACACAUGCAAGUCGAACGGAAAGGCCCUGCUUUUGUGGGGUGCUCGAGUGGCGAACGGGUGAGUAACACGUGAGUAACCUGCCCUUGACUUUGGGAUAACUUCAGGAAACUGGGGCUAAUACCGGAUAGGAGCUCCUGCUGCAUGGUGGGGGUUGGAAAGUUUCGGCGGUUGGGGAUGGACUCGCGGCUUAUCAGCUUGUUGGUGGGGUAGUGGCUUACCAAGGCUUUGACGGGUAGCCGGCCUGAGAGGGUGACCGGGCACAUUGGGACUGAGAUACGGCCCAGACUCCUACGGGAGGCAGCAGUGGGGAAUAUUGCACAGUGGGCGGAAGCCUGAUGCAGCAACGCCGCGUGCGGGAUGACGGCCUUCGGGUUGUAAACCGCUUUCGCCUGUGACGAAGCGUGAGUGACGGUAAUGGGUAAAGAAGCACCGGCUAACUACGUG